Molecule: transfer RNA, 74 nt
Filed under: Dehalococcoidia bacterium
Lineage: Bacteria; Bacillati; Chloroflexota; Dehalococcoidia
Description: tRNA-Lys
Source: RNAcentral
AAGCCGUUAGUUCAGGCGUAGAGCACCUGGCUUUUAAUCCGGGUAUCGGGUUUCGAAUAUCCCACAGCUCAUCA